RNAcentral lists this unclassified non-coding RNA (282 nucleotides) under Spizellomyces dolichospermus. RNAcentral's name for it is "partial internal transcribed spacer region". The stretch from base 1 to 46 matches the Rfam family "Eukaryotic small subunit ribosomal RNA", at positions 1786 to 1831 of the family's 1831-position model. Lineage: Eukaryota; Fungi; Chytridiomycota; Chytridiomycetes; Spizellomycetales; Spizellomycetaceae. The record is from RNAcentral.
AAGUCGUAACAAGGUAACCGUAGGUGAACCUGCGGUUGGAUCAUUAAAAAUAUGAAAACCCACUCGUGGUGACCUUUGUCCCCACGAGUAUAAUCUAAAUACCACAUCUUGUGAACCGUACCGUCUUUGGUGGUGGGGUGGACGCUGCGGUCAGCAGCGCGCCAUCUGUCAGCUUGGAUCGAAAGCUCCGGGCCGUGGACAAGCCACCGCAUGUAUUCAAACCUUUGCUUCAUUCUGUAUUAAAUAUACAAACAACUUUUGGCAACGGAUCUCUUGGUUCUC